Molecule: ribosomal RNA, 324 nt
Filed under: uncultured eukaryote
Lineage: Eukaryota
Description: partial 18S ribosomal RNA
Rfam family: Eukaryotic small subunit ribosomal RNA
Source: RNAcentral
CCCUUAGAUGUUCUGGGCUGCACGCGCGCUACACUGGUCGAUGCAACGAGUUUCUUUCCUUGGCCGACAGGCCUGGGCAAUCUUUGAACAUCGAUCGUGAUCGGGAUAGAUUCUUGUAAUUUUUGAUCUUAAACGAGGAAUUCCUAGUAAACGCAAGUCAUCAGCUUGCAUUGAUUACGUCCCUGCCCUUUGUACACACCGCCCGUCGCACCUACCGAUUGAAUGGUCCGGUGAAAUCUCCGGACUGGCGUGAGUCGGAGCAAUCUGACAAACACCGGAAAGUUGAUUAAACCUUACCAUUUAGAGGAAGGUGAAGUCGUAACA